This 517-nucleotide ribosomal RNA is filed under the name uncultured bacterium. Its description in RNAcentral is "bacterial SSU rRNA". It matches the Rfam family "Bacterial small subunit ribosomal RNA", at positions 8 to 518 of the family's 1533-position model. The record is from RNAcentral.
AGAGUUGAUAUGGCUCAGGAUGAACGCUAGCGACAGGCUUAACACAUGCAAGUCGAGGGGCAGCACGGGAGUAGCAAUACAACUGGUGGCGACCGGCGCACGGGUGAGUAACGCGUAUGCAACCUACCUAUCAGAGGGGAAUAACCCGGCGAAAGUCGGACUAAUACCGCAUAAAACAGGGGCACCGCAUGGUGAUAUUUGUUAAAGAAAUUCGCUGAUAGAUGGGCAUGCGUUCCAUUAGGUAGUUGGUGAGGUAACGGCUCACCAAGCCGACGAUGGAUAGGGGAACUGAGAGGUUGGUCCCCCACACUGGUACUGAGACACGGACCAGACUCCUACGGGAGGCAGCAGUGAGGAAUAUUGGUCAAUGGGCGAGAGCCUGAACCAGCCAAGUCGCGUGAAGGAAGAAGGAUCUAUGGUUCGUAAACUUCUUUUGCAGGGGAAUAAAGUGCGGGACGUGUCCUGUUUUGUAUGUACCCUGAGAAUAAGGAUCGGCUAACUCCGUGCCAGCCGCAGC